RNAcentral lists this ribosomal RNA (467 nucleotides) under uncultured bacterium. RNAcentral describes it as "partial 16S ribosomal RNA". It matches the Rfam family "Bacterial small subunit ribosomal RNA", at positions 28 to 506 of the family's 1533-position model. The record is from RNAcentral.
GACGAACGCUGGCGGCGUGCUUAACACAUGCAAGUCGAACGGAAAGGCCCUGCUUUUGUGGGGUGCUCGAGUGGCGAACGGGUGAGUAACACGUGAGUAACCUGCCCUUGACUUUGGGAUAACUUCAGGAAACUGGGGCUAAUACCGGAUAGGAGCUCCUGCUGCAUGGUGGGGGUUGGAAAGUUUCGGCGGUUGGGGAUGGACUCGCGGCUUAUCAGCUUGUUGGUGGGGUAGUGGCUUACCAAGGCUUUGACGGGUAGCCGGCCUGAGAGGGUGACCGGCCACAUGGGGACUGAGAUACGGCCCAGACUCCGACGGGAGGCAGCAGUGGGGAAUAUGGCACAAUGGGCGGAAGCCUGAUGCAGCAACGCCGCGUGCGGGAUGACGGCCUUCGGGUUGUAAACCGCUUUCGCCUGUGACGAAGCGUGAGUGACGGUAAUGGGUAAAGAAGCACCGGCGAACUACGU